Molecule: long non-coding RNA, 1286 nt
Filed under: Homo sapiens (human)
Lineage: Eukaryota; Metazoa; Chordata; Mammalia; Primates; Hominidae
Description: HSALNT0365148
Source: RNAcentral
CCCCUCUCGGAGAAACACCCACGAAUGAUCAAUAAAUACUAAGGGAACUCAGAGGCUGGCGGGAUCCUCCAUAUGCUGAACGCUGGUUCCCCGGGUCCCCUUAUUUCUUUCUCUAUACUUUGUCUCUGUGUCUUUUUCUUUUCCAAGUCUCUCGUUCCACCUUACGAGAAACACCCACAGGUGUGGAGGGGCAACCCACCCCUUCAUCUGGUGCCCAACGUGGAGGCUUUUCUCUAGGGUGAAGGUACUCUCAAGCGUGGUCAUUGAGGACAAGUCGACGAGAGAUCCCGAGUACGUCUACAGUCAGCCUUACGUCUGCAGGUGUACCCAACAGCUCCGAAGAGACAGCGACCAUCGAGAAUGGGCCAUGAUGACGAUGGCGGUUUUGUCGAAAAGAAAAGGGGGAAAUGUGGGGAAAAGCAAGAGAGAUCAGAUUGUUACUGUGUCUGUAUAGAAAGAAGUAGACAUAGGAGACUCCAUUUUGUUCUGUACUAAGAAAAAUUCUUCUGCCUUGAGAUGCUGUUAAUCUAUGACCUUACCCCCAACCCCGUGCUCUCUGAAACAUGUGCUGUGUCAAACUCAGGGUUAAAUGGAUUAAGGGUUGUGCAAGAUGUGCUUUGUUAAACAAAUGCUUGAAGGCAGCAUGCUCUUUAAGAGUCAUCACCACUCCCUAAUCUCAAGUACCCAGGGACACAAACACUGCGGAAGGCCGCAGGGACCUCUGCCUAGGAAAGCCAGGUAUUGUCCAAGGUUUCUCCCCAUGUGAUAGUCUGAAAUAUGGCCUCGUGGGAAGGGAAAGACCUGACCGUCCCCCAGCCCGACACCCAUAAAGGGUCUGUGUGAGGAGGAUUAGUAUAAGAGGAAGGCAUGCCUCUUGCAGUUGAGACAAGAGGAAGGCGUCUGUCUCCUGCCCGUCCCUGGACAAUGGAAUGUCUCGGUAUAAAACCCGAUUGUACGUUCCAUCUACUGAGAUAGGGAAAAACGCCUUAGGGCUGGAGGUGGGACAUGCGGGCAGCAAUACUGCUUUGUAAAGCAUUGAGAUGUUUAUGUGUAUGCAUAUCUAAGAGCACAGCACUUAAUCCUUUACCUCGUCUAUGAUGCAAAGACCUUUGUUCACGUGUUUGUCUGCUGACCCUCUCCCCACUAUUGUCUUGUGACCCUGACACAUCCCCCUCUCGGAGAAACACCCACGAAUGAUCAAUAAAUACUAAGGGAACUCAGAGGCUGGCGGGAUCCUCCAUAUGCUGAACGCUGGUUCCCCGGGUCCCCUUAUUUCUUUCUCUAUA